CUGCUGCCCAGAUGAUGGUUCAGCGAUAAAUAAAUGGAGUGUGCUUGCACUGGAGGCCUCCUACACACCGCUGCGGGCCAUCCCCACGCCUGUCCACGUGGGAAGGGGCUCUUGCACUGGCUGCAGCAGUGAGCCAGCAGCAAGAAUCACUUUCGCCUACCCAGGCAGCCUCUGAGACUUGUCGGCGUCAUAAAUCAGCCUGCUCAAAGGUAGCAGCCCGGCACAUGCCCCCUGAGCAGGGAAAAGAGCUUCAGGAUGCCCAGAGGCAGGUUACGGCGGCGAACAGCUGUGUAAAAUUCACACACCUCUGGCAAGGAAAAAAAAAGGCUUUAUGAGAACACAAACAAUUUGGAAUGUGACAGCUAGAAGAAGUCCUCUUUGCUGUCAAUUGAAGCUUGUCUCAUGCACAAUGAACGGGAGAUCUUGGUUCAGCUCUGCCAGAGGUUAGGACAGAGGUGGUUUUUCUGAAGAGACAAGGGUGUGGUGGAAAUAUUUCAUGCCAGUUAAAUAUGAACCGAAACACUAUCCCAAUUACAAAACAGGCCGGAAAAUAAAAUUUAACCAGCAGAAGAUCUGGAUCCCACUUGUGCCCUCCCAGGACAGAGGGGAAAGGACUCCUGGAAACUGGGCACGCAUGGUUCCCCUGGAGGUAGGGCUGGCUGUACGUGUGCAAAGGGGGCCUGGACUCCCCAAAAUCCCCUCGGGGCACAGCAGUCGCAGCAGCAGUGUAGGAUCACUAGCAUUGCUGCAUGGGGAAAACAAACGUCAAGGUUUAUGCAACAUUUCUUUUGGUGUUUGCAAAGAAUAGGUACAGGAGGAAGGACAGAAUGGCUCUCCUUCUGAAAAAUUUGCUUCUGAAGUACUUGGUAUUUUCAAUAAUUAAUUGGGUGAGAGCAGACUAGCUGUGAAACUGUAUUACAGAAAUCUGAGUCUUACGUUAUUACAGCCUGGGCUCUGAUACCUGUAUCAGAUGGGUCAGCCCUGUCCCGAAGCCCACUGAAACUAGCAGAGCGUUGCUGGCUGCCGGAGGUAGAGGUACCAGUGUGGGGGGACCAGAGAUGCUACAUGUUUCUACCAAAACUGGAGGCCAUACAUUUUCAGCUGCCUCCACAAAUAUCACUUCCUAAAAUAUUUCUGAACAUCUGUAUAACCACCAAAAGAUAUUCCACAGAGCGCUGACUCAGUAUUUCAUCUGAUUACAAUUUAAUGUGAAAUAGAGCAUCCUCAGAGUGGGGCCUGGCUCCCUUUUCCCCUGCGAGUGGCCCAGCAGCAAGUCCCUCUUUUCAGCAGGCAUCUCCUCCUGUCCCCGGCCCCACGGGGCAGAGCCAGCAGGCGGCCCGGGGCGCUCCCACCCCAUGGCUUGGCCACCAUGCUGCUCUCUGGGGAGAAGACGGAGAUGUGAGUUUUUACAAAUCAUAUUCCUGUUACCAAAACCUCAGUGUCAACUGAAAUACCUGGCAGUCUUCGAGAUGGGGACAAAAUGGGAGGAAAAACGGCUGCUGUUAUUCUAUGAUCCCUCUGACUGGCGAAGCCGUGCGCCCCGCAGUCGUGGCAGGGGAGGACACCGAACACACCUGACUUGCCACAUCUGCACGGGGAAGAGAGCUAGGAGCAAAGCCUCGAAGGAGUCUAGAGCACGUAAGUUUUGCAUUAGUGAUGAGCCAGAGCCAGUUACCCGCAUUUAAGCAAUACCAGGCUCUGGGGAAAUUCAGAUCCAGACCUGAACUACAUGGCUUGGCAAAAGCCUAUUCUUACCGUCACGUGUCUGACCUCUUGAAAAUAACGUUAAUUCAAAAGUUAAAUGUGUUCAGUUGACAGUGAUGGAGUAUUUGUGUUAAGGAGGAGAUUUUUCAAUGGCACGAAAUCGACUUACCAGUGGGUUACAAAUGCCUCAUUUAUGUCCUUUAGAAGGCCCGAGUGCAGCAGGUUUGGGGAGGACACUCAACUGCAGGGAGGUGUUUGUUGCACUGGUGGGGGCUGCCGUGUGGAGAGCCAGGACACGACUUUGCAGAUCAAAGAUGCCCCACUAAAAGCAUUGUAUUUCCAAAGGGGAUGCUGAAGG
Molecule: long non-coding RNA, 2062 nt
Organism: Struthio camelus australis
Lineage: Eukaryota; Metazoa; Chordata; Aves; Struthioniformes; Struthionidae
Source: RefSeq, a predicted model, not a curated record